AAAGGAACCAACUCAAAGGGCA
This 22-nucleotide small RNA is filed under the name Arabidopsis thaliana (thale cress). Its description in RNAcentral is "ATSL279780". The record is from RNAcentral. Lineage: Eukaryota; Viridiplantae; Streptophyta; Magnoliopsida; Brassicales; Brassicaceae.